UUUGAUCUUGGAUUUAGCUAGAUUUCAUGUUAUUCUAGUGUUUUUAGUUGGUUGGUGAUGUGUAGCAUAAAAAGCAAACAAGAAAAAUUCAUGUUCUUAUAUCACCCUCAUUGGCCGAAUCUUCCUUAUGGUAUGUGGAUGGUGGAUUUGAUUUUAUUUCAAGUGAUUUGGUUAGGAAUUAAUGAUUUAUGGUGUAAAAAUCAAGUGUGAAAAACCAUAGUGUUUAUGCACC
RNAcentral lists this long non-coding RNA (232 nucleotides) under Theobroma cacao (cacao). RNAcentral's name for it is "long non-coding RNA (TCAC_LNC006048)". The record is from RNAcentral. Lineage: Eukaryota; Viridiplantae; Streptophyta; Magnoliopsida; Malvales; Malvaceae.